UCAGGAUGAACGCUAGCGGCAGGCUUAACACAUGCAAGUCGAGGGGCAGCGGGGAGGAAGCUUGCUUUCUCCGCCGGCGACCGGCGCACGGGUGAGUAACACGUAUGCAACCUGCCCCUGUCAGGGGGACAACCCGCCGAAAGGCGGGCUAAACCCGCGUACAUGCCACCGGGGCAUCCCGGAGGCAGGAAAGGCUUCGGCCGGACAGGGAUGGGCAUGCGGCGCAUUAGGCAGUAGGCGGGGUAACGGCCCACCUAACCGACGAUGCGUAGGGGUUCUGAGAGGAAGGUCCCCCACACUGGUACUGAGACACGGACCAGACUCCUACGGGAGGCAGCAGUGAGGAAUAUUGGUCAAUGGUCGGGAGACUGAACCAGCCAAGCCGCGUGAGGGAGGAAGGUACAGAGUAUCGUAAACCUCUUUUGUCAGGGAACAAAGACUGGGACGCGUCCCCGGAUGAGUGUACCUGAAGAAAAAGCAUCGGCUAACUCCGUGCCAGCAGCCGCGGUAAUACGGAGGAUGCGAGCGUUAUCCGGAUUUAUUGGGUUUAAAGGGUGCGCAGGCGGUCUGUUAAGUCAGCGGUCAAAGCCCGGGGCUCAACCCCGGCCCGCCGUUGAAACUGGCAGUCUCGAGUUGGAGAGAAGUAUGCGGAAUGCGCGGUGUAGCGGUGAAAUGCAUAGAUAUCGCGCAGAACUCCGAUUGCGAAGGCAGCAUGCCGGCUCCACACUGACGCUGAGGCACGAAAGCGUGGGUAUCGAACAGGAUUAGAUACCCUGGUAGUCCACGCAGUAAACGAUG
Molecule: ribosomal RNA, 798 nt
Filed under: uncultured bacterium
Lineage: Bacteria
Description: bacterial SSU rRNA
Rfam family: Bacterial small subunit ribosomal RNA
Source: RNAcentral